This 832-nucleotide long non-coding RNA is filed under the name Anser brachyrhynchus (Pink-footed goose). RNAcentral's name for it is "lncRNA (ENSABRG00000009815.1)". The record is from RNAcentral. Lineage: Eukaryota; Metazoa; Chordata; Aves; Anseriformes; Anatidae.
CUUCAGUUGUGACACCCAUUUGUUUUUAUCCCUAGCAGGAAUGAAACUACACUUAAUGGAAAAAAUGAGAUUUUUUAAUUUUUUUUUUAAAGCAUGAAGUCGUAUGAAUCACUCUCUGCUAAAUUGGUGUUCAGUUGUGUAACUUUUCUCUCUGAAGUUCACCUGUAACGUGACAGGUUGGAUACUAGUACAAUUAGCUUAUUUGUUUGUCACCUGUGUGCUAAACGUUAAUGUGUAGGACUUUUUUGUUCUUCCUUCAGAUAGUUAUAUGUUUAUAUAUAUACAGCAUUCCACCCACUUCCCCCACUGAACUCGUAGUUAUUUGACUGUUAUAAAAACUGAAGGUAUUGUGUGCACAAAUCUGUAAACAUAAGCAUUUUUUAAAAUUUCUUUCUUUUUUUUUUUUUUUUUCUUUACAACAGCAUAAAAAAGAAGUGUUGAGAGCUGCUCUUAACCCUUUUGGAGUCCGAAGUCAAAAGGGAACUAGGGGGCUUGAUACAUCCCUUGCAUCCUGCAUUUACUCUGACCACAGUCCCUCCCUGUUCUCACGAGUGGAGCUCUGCCCUGCUUCCCUUCCUGUUGAUUCCCAGUCAGCUACAUGGUAAGUUUUUAUUAUCUCUAUACUUGAUGCCACAAGGUAAAAUUCUGGCAGACUCUCUCUAAAAUCCAUUAGCACUGGGCAUUGAGGGCAGACCACUUCAUGCCCAUCAAAGAUCAUUCAGUCCUGUUCCAGGCUGACAGUAAGGAAAGGAAGGUAGUAUUGAAUUAGCAUUGGAGCUGAACUUCAGCAUAGAUUGUUAUAGGAAUAAAAUAUGAAGUAAAAUAUGUGACA